AUGGAUUCAGUUGAACUCGAAGACAGUGGUGAACACCAACCGUCUCUGGAAGUUUCCCUUGCUUCAGAUGUGAUAUAUGAUGACGCACCUGUAUGUCCGUGCAUUGGGAGUGACCACCAGGCAGAAAUCCCGAAUCUGUCCACAGAGGAUGAGCGUCAGCAGCUCAUGACCAGCUCGCCUGGAGGCGUGCUACCUGGUUUUGAUUACCCUGUUACGAUUGGGUUAGCUAUACCGGUCACAUGGGGACCAAGUGAAGUCCGUAAGGAGGAAGAAUUAGGAAGGCAUCAUUCUUCAGAAACCAAAGCAAGAGCCAUCAGCCAGGAUGAGGAUCGUCCUGUAACCUCAGUUUGUCCAACCAGCAAUGAUAUGAGUGACCAUGAUUCAACAUAUCAGGAUCCACAGCCCAUGGUGCCUGUAGAUCAUGUAGAAUCUGGCAGUAAUCGAGCACAUGCCGAGAACUUGGCCCCGUGUUCUACACAAGAAGGCCACAAUUUUACUAAUAAGCCAAUGAUGCAGGAAGGGGAAAUUGAUCAAUUUAUUCCGCUGCCGUGUGCAUCCACUUCCCUUUGGAGUGGUAUUGAGGCAGAAUGUUUUCUGCUCGGGCUUUACAUUUUCGGCAAAAAUCUAAGUCUGCUGAGCAGGUUCCUUGGUAACAAGACUAUUGGGGAUGUGCUUUCCUACUACUAUGGAAAGUUCUACAAAAGAGACGCGUAUAGAAGAUGGUCGGAUUGCAGAAAAGCACGAACUAGGAGAUGCAUUCUCGGGGAACGCAUUUUUACAAGUUGGCGGCAGCAGGAGAUUAUUUCUCGUCUUAAAUCUGUAAUACUCAAUGAAGCUCAUGAUUCGUUGCUGGAGAUUUUCAAAUAUUUCAACGAUGGACAAACAUCUUUAGAAGAUUUUGUCUUUGCUCUGAAAUCCACUGUUGGAACAGAAGCUCUUGUGGAGGCUGUUGGAAUUGGUAAAGAGAAACGUGAUUUGACUGGAUUUGUUCUGGACCCAUCUAAGCCAAACCAAGUUCCAAAUCAUCCUGACAUGCCUACAGGCAAAGACUGUUCAUCGCUUGCUUCGGAAGAGAUAAUUAAGUUCUUAACAGGCGAUUUCAGAAGAAGCAAGACAAGAUCAAAUGAUCUUUUCUGGGAAGCUGUCUGGCCCCGUUUGCUUGCAAGAGGGUGGCAUUCAGAGCAGCCAAAAGAUGUCAGCACAACUAAGAAUUCCCUUGUGUUUCUUGUGCCAGGUAUAAAGAAAUUCUCAAGAAGUAAACUCACUAAAGGUACUCAUUAUUUUGAUUCUGUCAGCGAUGUCCUUAAACGAGUGGCAGCGGAUCCCAUCCUUCUUGACCUAGAGGUUGGCGGAUUGGCCAAUGAUAUUACUGCCGAGGAAAAUGGCUAUGACACAGACGUGAAAAAUAACCAAGAUGAUCCUUUGGAUGGUAAUCAGGAGCUUCCAAGGUUCACAAUUAUUGAUACUACCUUGGUACAAGGACAAGAGCCCUUCAGAAUCAGGGAGAUGAGGAGACUACCUGCUGAUGCAAAAGUUCGUUCUGUCCCUUCACGCCAAUCACGCAAGGUUGUGACUGUCAGUUCAUCGGAGGGGUCAGAUGCAGAUGGUCGAUUGUCAGAUGACCAGGAAUAUCGUGGACCAGUUACAACUGAUGUUAACGACACUGAAAUCUUUUCAGUGCGCAAUGUAAAGAAAGAAACCCAAGUUGAUUCGUUGCAAAACAUGGUGACUGCAUCAUGCUCAGAUUUUCCAGUCAAUGGUCAUUCUUCUAAUGGCAGUGGUAACGAAAUUGAUUUGACAUGCUUAUUUGAGCCCAAAACAAAAACUGAAAGGCGCAAGUAUUUAUCACCAGUGUCAAAGCGCAGAAAAUUAUCUAGCUGUAACAAUGACCAGACCAGCCGGCGCAGCUUUCCUUUCUCCAAGGGAGUUGGUUCAACAAAAGAGAAAAUCAAGCCACUGUCAACCUCGUCAAAACCAACUGUCGGUGAUGUUUCUGGUAAUUCUCAGAUCAAAGAGAAAAUCAAGCCACUGUCAACGUCAUCAAAACCAACUGUCGGUGAUGUUUCUGGUAAUUCUCAGAUCAAAGAGAAAACCAAGCCACUGUCAACGUCAUCAAAACCAACUGCCGGUGAUGUUUCUGGUAAUUCUCAGAUCAAAGAGAAAACCAAGCCACUGUCGACGUCAUCAAAACCAACUAUCGGUGAUGUUUCUGGUAAUUCUCAGAUCAAAGAGAAAAUCAAGCCACUGUCAACAUCAUCAAAACCAACUGUUGGUGAUGUUUCUGGUAAUUCUCAGAUCAAAGAGAAAAUCAAGCCACUGCCAACCUCAUCAAAACCAACUGUUGGUAAUGUUUCUGGUAAUUCUCAGAUCAAAGAGAAAAUCAAGCCACUGCCAACCUCAUCAAAACCAAUUGUCGGUGAUGUUUCUGGUAAUUCUCAGAUCAAAAUGGUUGCAAGAUGUUCCACAGAGAAGCCACGCGAGCACGUAAGAGGUGCAUCAAACACUCUUACCAAUGACAGGUCAAGUGAGAAGAUGAAAGUGAAGAACUUAUAUGAGGACAAAUCAUUUGAGCGCAAGGUCGAUGCUCUGCCUGAAGUUCAUUCAAAGAUCACCAUCGGUGAGACAAAAUUUGCGAAAGGGGCUCAAGCUAGUAGUUCGGUUGGUCAGGUUAAACAGGAGACGCCACUUGAUAGCAUGACAGGUGCAAUUGUAUGUGUCACUUUAUCAGACGAUGAUGAUUACAUGAUGGCUGAGGAAGCUCCCUCCAUUUCCAGCAGCGAUCAGAUCCGUGAUCCAGAGGUAGCAGAACGACCCAUGGCUAUGGUACAACCUGCUAGUUCACAAGCUGAUUUGGCUCCGCAGGCGGAUUCUCGGAGGCAUGGAACCAGAAACAGGCCUCCCACAGCAAAAGCUCUGGAAGCACUUGCCUUGGGGCUCAUUGGAAAGCGCAAGGGCGAACCCAAAAGCCCUGGAACAAGAAGGCCUCCCCAGCGAGCUCGCAAAUCCAGUAAAAAAUCGGUUCAUACACCUACCGGCAGCGACACCGACAAAUCCAGCAUGGAUGCUGAUGCGCAACUGUGA
Molecule: ribosomal RNA, 3081 nt
Filed under: Triticum aestivum (bread wheat)
Lineage: Eukaryota; Viridiplantae; Streptophyta; Magnoliopsida; Poales; Poaceae
Description: partial small subunit ribosomal RNA
Source: RNAcentral